GACUCUUCAACAUCUGAAAAGCAGAUAUGAGUUAGAAUUCAGGUUAGCUGAGAAAUAGAGCUCUGAGAAAUAUGAUAAAAUCGCUGUGUCUGAUGCGUGGGAGAUAUGUGGGAGAUAUGGCGUAGUUUUAGUGGGGGGGUUGACAUGGUUUAUAGUCAAAACCAUGCCGAAGGUUAUUCCGGCCUGAAAAAUUAACCAUGUUCAACUUUUUAUUAACCACGUUCAACUGUAUGCCCGUUCCGUUCUGUCAAAAAGCCUGUUGCAAACUCGCUGAAUUCACCGUCUCUGUUUGCAAGAUAUGUUUUUGUUUUUAAGUGAAAUAGAGUAUAACAGCCGCGCGAGUUGAAUAUAUUUUUUUCUCUCACUAUAUACACGGGUAGACUGCUAUAGAUAAAUAUUUACUGGAAUGGGCUGCUCUGACCUGAUACCACUGUCGCAUCCUCAAAGUCUAGGGGCCACAGGCUAAUUUCAGCGAACUUUCGUGCUUGUUGCAUGAGUUCUUCACUUAAAAAGACGCGUUCUGAUGCUGGCGGCGAAAUAUCAGUAGCGGAAAGCCGCUCCUCGGAGUCCAGUGGUGGAGAGGAUACCGUGUGGCUCGAUUGGUUCUCCUUAUCCGCAAGUGCUUCACGGCUGCCGAGCGAGAAACAAGUGAUCUCGUCGCCCUUUUUGGAGUGGGCUAAAUGUGUAUUCUUGGA
Molecule: small RNA, 695 nt
Filed under: Histoplasma capsulatum
Lineage: Eukaryota; Fungi; Ascomycota; Eurotiomycetes; Onygenales; Ajellomycetaceae
Also listed under: 1 other name
Description: hypothetical RNA
Source: RNAcentral